UGAAAGUGUACCUAGGGUUCCAGCCUAUUUGUAGGUGUUCGGACCGAGCGGUACAGGUAUAUUUUUAUAUACCACACCUUAGGGACAAAAGCCCGGGAGGA
This 101-nucleotide small RNA is filed under the name unclassified sequences. Its description in RNAcentral is "PRPP riboswitch Guanidine-I sequence". It matches the Rfam family "Guanidine-I riboswitch aptamer". Rfam says of the family: This family represents a conserved RNA structure found upstream of the ykkC and yxkD genes in Bacillus subtilis and related genes in other bacteria. The function of this family is unclear although it has been suggested that it may function to switch on efflux pumps and detoxification systems in response to harmful environmental molecules. The record is from RNAcentral.